This 264-nucleotide ribosomal RNA is filed under the name uncultured bacterium. Its description in RNAcentral is "partial 16S ribosomal RNA". It matches the Rfam family "Bacterial small subunit ribosomal RNA", at positions 793 to 1055 of the family's 1533-position model. The record is from RNAcentral.
GUCCACGCCGUAAACGAUGUCAACUAGCCGUUGGUCCUAUUUACAGGAUUAGUGGCGCAGCUAACGCAUUAAGUUGACCGCCUGGUGAGUACGGCCGCAAGGUUAAAACUCAAAUGAAUUGACGGGGGCCCGCACAAGCGGUGGAGCAUGUGGUUUAAUUCGAUGCAACGCGAAGAACCUUACCUACCCUUUACAUCCAGAGAAUCUGUUAGAGAUAGUAGAGUGCCUUCGGGAGCUCUGAGACAGGUGCUGCAUUGCUGUCGU